Molecule: signal recognition particle RNA, 307 nt
Filed under: Thermoplasmata archaeon
Lineage: Archaea; Methanobacteriati; Thermoplasmatota; Thermoplasmata
Also listed under: 1 other name
Description: signal recognition particle sRNA
Rfam family: Archaeal signal recognition particle RNA
Source: RNAcentral
UACCAGGCUAGGCCGGGGGAGGUAGGCGUUCCCCUUUACCUGAAGUCUAGAUGCAGGGGCGACUGCUGGGGGCGGGAGAGGGAAUGGUAGGAGUCCUGUCCUGCAGCUAUUGAAAUCCUGUCCUCCGGGAUUGGGGGUGGCAUACCUGCCUCCAAAGGGAGGCAAGGGUGCCUUUAUCACGGGAAAACCGCCAGGCCCGGAAGGGAGCAGCGGCACCGUGAACCUGCGAUGCUCGGAGGGGUGCGGGAUGGAGGCGGGGGCAGGGAAAGCUACUAUCAUUCCUUAACCCCACCCCAGUGGCCUGGUA